Molecule: unclassified non-coding RNA, 598 nt
Filed under: Hevea brasiliensis (rubber tree)
Lineage: Eukaryota; Viridiplantae; Streptophyta; Magnoliopsida; Malpighiales; Euphorbiaceae
Source: RNAcentral
UAAAAAUAGGCGGCUUCACAUAUCUCAUAACAUCGUAUAUUGCGAAAGCUUCAGUCUCAUAACCCAAUUUCUCACCACCCUUUGUGGUACCAGUGGAAUUGAUGUAUAGGUAGAUUGGCUUGUCUGCAUCUUCAUAUUGAAGGUAAAGAAACUCGGCUAGGAUCAAUUCUGUCACUGAAGGGACUAGAGACAUGCCCAGGUAUACAAUUCGAUUUUUGUACAGGUAAGAUGCUAGAUCUGGAGGCGGUUGCUCCCAUGCAUUUCCCCUUAAGAAAGGGAUAACCAUGGUGACCACGCCGCGUUUGCCGCCGCGCCCUGGCGGAGUCGGCGCGAGCGAGGGGAUCCAAAUCCUCUGUCCGGAGAAUUCGCCGGAGACGCUCCCGCCGGCGAAGGGAGCAGCGGCGAGGCUGCUACUGAGAGCAGCGGCAGCUCGAGGGGCGGCGGCGGGGCGGGGGGUCAGGGAUCGGUUGGAGAGGUGCUUGGGAGAGGAGGAGAGGAGGCGGUGGUCGAGGGCGAAGCGGGGGGAGGAGAAGGCGACCUCCAUUGCGAGCGGAGAAAGGAGUGGGAGGGGAUAACUCGUUGGAAGAGGUGAUGCGGG